GCCUGCGUAGCUUAGUCGUAAAAACACCCGUCUAUGGCGCGGUAGGCUUCGGGUUCGAGCCUCGGUAAAGGCA
This is a non-coding RNA of Henosepilachna vigintioctopunctata, 73 nucleotides long. NCBI's taxonomy places the organism in Eukaryota, Metazoa, Arthropoda, Insecta, Coleoptera, Coccinellidae. The record is from the annotation of a GenBank genome assembly.